Molecule: ribosomal RNA, 403 nt
Filed under: bacterium
Lineage: Bacteria
Description: partial 16S ribosomal RNA
Rfam family: Bacterial small subunit ribosomal RNA
Source: RNAcentral
UGGGGAACAUUGCACAAUGGGGGAAACCCUGAUGCAGCGACGCCGCGUGAACGAAGAAGGUAUUCGUAUCGUAAAGUUCUGUCCUAUGGGAAGAUAAUGACAGUACCAUAGAAGAAAGCUCCGGCUAAAUACGUGCCAGCAGCCGCGGUAAUACGUAUGGAGCGAGCGUUGUCCGGAAUUAUUGGGCGUAAAGGGUACGCAGGCGGUUUAAUAAGUCGAAUGUUAAAGAUCGGGGCUCAACCCCGUAAAGCAUUGGAAACUGAUAAACUUGAGUAGUGGAGAGGAAAGUGGAAUUCCUAGUGUAGUGGUGAAAUACGUAGAUAUUAGGAGGAAUACCAGUAGCGAAGGCGACUUUCUGGACACAAACUGACGCUGAGGUACGAAAGCGUGGGGAGCAAACAGG